GGUUGAUCCUGCCAGUAGUCAUAUGCUUGUCUCAAAGAUUAAGCCAUGCAUGUCUAAGUAUAAACUUUUAUACAGUGAAACUGCGAAUGGCUCAUUAAAUCAGUUAUAGUUUAUUUGAUAAUCUCUUACUACUUGGAUAACCGUGGUAAUUCUAGAGCUAAUACAUGCAUUAAGACCCGACGCAAGAAGGGUUGUAUUUAUUAGAUAAAAACCAUCGCACUUUGUGCUUUUUGGUGAUUCAUAAUAACUUUACCGAUCGCAUGACCUUGUGUCGGCGACGUAUCAUUCAAAUU
Molecule: ribosomal RNA, 293 nt
Filed under: uncultured eukaryote
Lineage: Eukaryota
Description: partial 18S ribosomal RNA
Rfam family: Eukaryotic small subunit ribosomal RNA
Source: RNAcentral